GGGGUCGUAGCUCAAUUGGUAGAGCGCUACAAUGGCAUUGUAGAGGUCGGGGGUUCGAUUCCCCCCGGCUCCACCA
Molecule: transfer RNA, 76 nt
Filed under: Holosporaceae bacterium
Lineage: Bacteria; Pseudomonadati; Pseudomonadota; Alphaproteobacteria; Holosporales; Holosporaceae
Description: tRNA-Ala
Rfam family: tRNA
About the family: Transfer RNA (tRNA) molecules are approximately 80 nucleotides in length.
Source: RNAcentral